AAUAGGAGAAUGACAAAUCAAAUUUUUCCUCCUGAUAUUCAACAUUUUCCUCCUAACAAAAUUCAAAUCCCACUAAAAAUGUUAAAUAUCUGGAGAAAAAAUAUGAUUUGUCAUUCUCCUAUU
Gossypium raimondii (Peruvian cotton) is the source of this 123-nucleotide non-coding RNA. NCBI's taxonomy places the organism in Eukaryota, Viridiplantae, Streptophyta, Magnoliopsida, Malvales, Malvaceae. The record is from Rfam.